RNAcentral lists this ribosomal RNA (497 nucleotides) under uncultured bacterium. Its description in RNAcentral is "partial 16S ribosomal RNA". It matches the Rfam family "Bacterial small subunit ribosomal RNA", at positions 28 to 507 of the family's 1533-position model. The record is from RNAcentral.
GAUGAACGCUGGCGGCGUGCCUAAUACAUGCAAGUCGAGCGAACAGAUGAGGAGCUUGCUCCUCUGACGUUAGCGGCGGACGGGUGAGUAACACGUGGAUAACCUACCUAUAAGACUGGGAUAACUUCGGGAAACCGGAGCUAAUACCGGAUAAUAUAUUGAACCGCAUGGUUCAAUAGUGCAAGCCGGUUUUGCUGUCACUUAUAGAUGGAUCCGCGCCGCAUUAGCUAGUUGGUAAGGUAACGGCUUACCAAGGCGACGAUGCGUAGCCGACCUGAGAGGGUGAUCGGCCACACUGGAACUGAGACACGGUCCAGACUCCUACGGGAGGCAGCAGUAGGGAAUCUUCGGCAAUGGGCGAAAGCCUGACGGAGCAACGCCGCGUGAGUGAUGAAGGUCUUCGGAUCGUAAAACUCUGUUAUUAGGGAAGAACAAAUGUGUAAGUAACUAUGCACGUCUUGACGGUACCUAAACAGAAAGCCACGGCUAACUACGUG